UCACACCAUUCACAACCUUAAGACACCCCUCCCAGCGUCUUCUUCUACACAGACUUGAGGAGACCCUUCCAUCUCCUCUCCAAGUCAACAACCAUAGCUUUGAGCUUAACCCUCCCUCAUUUUUCUUAAGAAACACACGCACACUGGACCAACCAGCAACGGCUCAGUCCAAACUUGCCAGAAGAAGCAGCCAUAGCAGAGAACAAAAGACCACUCUUCUAGCGCUAACUCCUUCUUCAUCUAACAAUUGAAAUCAGCGACCAUUUCCACCACAGCUAGAGCUUAUUACACGAGAGAUCUUGCGAGUUUCGAGGUCUGGUCGUAAUUCCGUUGAGGUUUCCGGUGAAGUUCUAGUCCUGCAGUUCGAGGAUGUCAUCUGGUCAGCGUUUUCAGUAAUUGUUGCGACUGUAAAAGAUCGAUCUUCUUUCAGAUUAUAUCAACACUGGAAGGAACUCAUAUAUUGGUAUAUCCAACAUGAUGAAUUUGAUAACGCUCCACUACUGUCAUGAAUCAUUCUCCAGAUGCUUGGGAUCAUAUGCAAUUCAAAGAUAUUGUUGUGAAAGCUGCUAAUGUGGACUUUGUGAAUAUAUAUCGAGUGUUUGAGUUUUUUUUUUUUGUUCUAUUUAUUUAUCAUUUUUCGUUCUUUCCUUCUUUUUCUGUUCGAAAUUUGCGCAAAUUGAUUUAUGUCAUUUUCUGUUUGUCAGUAGUUUAGGAAGAACUUGGCAUUUGGUUGAGGCACUGAUAGUAGUAAUAGUUUUGUUUUGGAUACGUUUAAUGUGUUGAAGUUAUGAUCUCUGUUUGUAAUUGUUUAGCGGUUGAAUCUAUUUAAUCUGUGGAAGAUUUGAUCUUUUUGUGA
Molecule: long non-coding RNA, 856 nt
Organism: Nicotiana tabacum (common tobacco)
Lineage: Eukaryota; Viridiplantae; Streptophyta; Magnoliopsida; Solanales; Solanaceae
Source: RefSeq, a predicted model, not a curated record